Molecule: long non-coding RNA, 1406 nt
Organism: Pan troglodytes (chimpanzee)
Lineage: Eukaryota; Metazoa; Chordata; Mammalia; Primates; Hominidae
Exons: 4
Source: RefSeq, a predicted model, not a curated record
GUUCAGCUCAGAGAAGCAUGAGAUCUCUUGGAAAGAUAGGACUCUGUUCUGACCAUCUCUGUAUUCCCUGUGUCCAGCAAGAUCUCCGGCACAAAAUAUGUGUCCGGUAAAACUGUGUUGAAUGAAGAAAUGAAGUGAAUGAAUGACGGUAAAGGAGCACAUUACAGAGGACACCAAAGAAAUUCAGUGUCUCCAAGAUCCACCAUUAUAAAGAGAAAAAUCACAGAAAGCUAUGAGAAAUAACCAAAGAGAAACAGAACAGUGUUUAUCUCCAUCAGGAAGCAUCUGGAACGGCUUAUUAGAGAUUCCCAGCUGCAGCACUUCAGCUCUCCCACGUUCACCCUGACCGUGCUCACUGGCUACUGCCCCAGAAACAGGCCUUGAAUUCCAAGCCUGUCCGCCCCGCCGCAGCCAGCCUGGUCCCGGGAUGCAAGGACGCAGAGUCCCGCGAGGCUGAUACCUUCACGAUGACAGCUUUGCGUCCGGAGUAGCGUCCAGCCAGGACAAGCACCACCUUCCCAGGUUUCAUGAACUUGCCCAUUUCUGCAGAGAGCAAGGAGAAAGGGCCACUUAAAAAUCCGUAAAGCCAAAGAUGCCCAGAGCUGACUCCUGCCAGCAAGCCCAGGUCUUGCGCCGGAACUUCAGACUGUGUUCACUGUCGCCUUGGUCCAGGCCGCCCGAGGGCCCUGCUCGCAGGACAGGAUCGGAUACGUAGCCGCCAGAGACCUAGGGAAGGAAUGCACCCGGCGCCGCCCGGACCUUCGACCCCCAAGCCGCGGAUGGCAGCGGAUUGAAAGAUUCAACCCAUGCUUCUACUUACCGGCAGCAACCACCCGGGCCUACAGCAAAAAGGAAAGAAGGACACUUCCGCUAACCUUUCACCCCGGUGAGGAGUGACCUCACUUCCUGUCCCGCCCUUCAGGCUUCGCCACGCUGAUUGUGUGGUGCUGAGUCUCGUGUUGCGGGCGGAAGAAGCUCAUGAGGGAAACGCCGGGCGCGGCAGCUCAAGUAUUCGAAUGAAGCUUUAUUAGCAGCUCCAGCAGUAGACAAGAGCAAAGGAGACUCCUCCCGGCCAACGGAAGAGCUGGGAGGGCGACUGUGCUGUGCGCUCUGGACUCAGCAGCUAGGCUUUGUUGUAGUUCCUUUCUCUGGCGCUAGGAGGGGGAACACAAUCUGAAAUUUACUUUUUCUCUUGGGAGACACAGGGAAAAAAAUAGGGCAUUUAUUGGUGCCUGUCGGGGGCACUGUUAGCUAAAGAGGGAGGGACAAAGAUCAGUAAGGGUGGCUGGUCCGAUAGUAGUGGGUUAUCAGAACUUAUCAACGUUAGGGUCACUAAAGUUGGUAUACAACCCCCCACUGCUAAAUUUGGUUUUAAAAAAACAAACAAAAAGGAUAUUUACCCCCAA